GAGAUCGGGAGGCGAUCAAAAGGAGGAAGAGGAGAUCCAUGGUUGGGGAUACAUUCAACGACCUAGGCAUCAUCCUCCCUGACGUCGUACUCGAAGCCUGCAGCCAUUGCCUUCUCAAUCUAUGUUAGUCAGCAGCAGCAAGCAGAGAAUUAACAACAGUAGACCAAAGCAAAGGGGGGUCAGCCUGAAUGGGACGUAUCCCCUUCCAGAGGACUCGCCCUAGCUAACCUGCAUGGUACCUUUCAAUAGCACUUCUCCCAGGGAUAGGGUAGCGUACACGAACAGCAAAAUUGUAGAAGACGAGGAGGACAAUCUGAGUGACCAACAUUAUGUGGAGUAUUGAGAUGCAGAUCCAUCUUCACUGACAGCACGCGCUUGUCUGUGACCUCCCACCAGCAACGCCUUGAGGUCACCCACACAAGCGACCAAGCAAUUCCACGCUGUCACCCUCUGCUACUUCGCCAACGACAUCGAGGAGGUCGUGGGUGAGAGCUACUGUCCUCCCUGGAGAACAUGCUCGUGCCCCAUGCGUACGAAGAAGAGCUAAGACACUCGCAUGGGUGCUCAAGGAAAUACACCAGAUUGAGCGAGCUUUAAUGUGACAGAGGAUCAUGGUGGUCGAUGGAUUGUGCACCCGGUAGUAGACUAGGAAAGGAACAUUAUUUACGGAACACAAUGAUAUUCAGAGCAGCCCUGCACUAUGUGAGAUUUAGAAGUUGGUACUGCCGGCGGAUGCAUCCAUGUGCUAAUCUCCUGGCACCACGUAGACGGAGCCAAACGAGUUGGGGCCUCCGGCCGGCUGGUAGUGGACAACAACACCGGGUUUGUUAAUUAAUCAACAAGUCACAGAUUGUCCUC
Molecule: non-coding RNA, 858 nt
Organism: Triticum urartu
Lineage: Eukaryota; Viridiplantae; Streptophyta; Magnoliopsida; Poales; Poaceae
Source: RefSeq, a predicted model, not a curated record